Molecule: ribosomal RNA, 550 nt
Filed under: Colletotrichum acutatum
Lineage: Eukaryota; Fungi; Ascomycota; Sordariomycetes; Glomerellales; Glomerellaceae
Description: eukaryotic LSU rRNA
Rfam family: 5.8S ribosomal RNA (bases 186-339)
Source: RNAcentral
UUACUGAGUUACCGCUCUAUAACCCUUUGUGAACGUACCUAACCGUUGCUUCGGCGGGCAGGGGAAGCCUCUCGCGGGCCUCCCCUCCCGGCGCCGGCCCCCACCACGGGGACGGGGCGCCCGCCGGAGGAAACCAAACUCUAUUUACACGACGUCUCUUCUGAGUGGCACAAGCAAAUAAUUAAAACUUUUAACAACGGAUCUCUUGGUUCUGGCAUCGAUGAAGAACGCAGCGAAAUGCGAUAAGUAAUGUGAAUUGCAGAAUUCAGUGAAUCAUCGAAUCUUUGAACGCACAUUGCGCUCGCCAGCAUUCUGGCGAGCAUGCCUGUUCGAGCGUCAUUUCAACCCUCAAGCACCGCUUGGUUUUGGGGCCCCACGGCACACGUGGGCCCUUAAAGGUAGUGGCGGACCCUCCCGGAGCCUCCUUUGCGUAGUAACUAACGUCUCGCACUGGGAUCCGGAGGGACUCUUGCCGUAAACCCCCCCAAUUCUUUACAGGUUGACCUCGGAUCAGGUAGGAAUACCCGCUGAACUUAAGCAUAUCAAUAAG